Molecule: ribosomal RNA, 440 nt
Filed under: uncultured bacterium
Lineage: Bacteria
Description: partial 16S ribosomal RNA
Rfam family: Bacterial small subunit ribosomal RNA
Source: RNAcentral
CCUACGGGUGACAGCAGUGGGGAAUAUUGCACAAUGGGGGAAACCCUGAUGCCGCGACGCCGCGUGCGUGAAGAAGUAAUUCGUUAUGUAAAGCUCUAUCAGCAGGGAAGAAAAUGACGGUACCUGAGUAAGAAGCCCCGGCUAACUACGUGCCAGCCGCCGCGGUAAUACGUAGGGGGCAAGCGUUAUCCGGAUUUACUGGGUGUAAAGGGAGCGUAGACGGCGGUGCAAUGCUGGAGUGAAAGGCGGGGGCUCAACCCCCGGACUGCUCUGGAAACUGUACGGCUGGAGUGCAGGAGGGGUAAGUGGAAUUCCUAGUGUAGCGGUGAAAGGCGUAGAUAUUAGGAGGAACAACAGGGGCGAAGGCGGCUUACUGGACUGUAACUGACGUUGAGGCUCGAAAGCGUGGGGAGCAAACAGGAUUAGAUACCCCUGUAGUA